AACGCUAGCUACAGGCUUAACACAUGCAAGUCGAGGGGCAGCAUGGUCUUAGCUUGCUAAGGCCGAUGGCGACCGGCGCACGGGUGAGUAACACGUAUCCAACCUGCCGUCUACUCUUGGACAGCCUUCUGAAAGGAAGAUUAAUACAAGAUGGCAUCAUGAGUCCGCAUGUUCACAUGAUUAAAGGUAUUCCGGUAGACGAUGGGGAUGCGUUCCAUUAGAUAGUAGGCGGGGUAACGGCCCACCUAGUCUUCGAUGAAUAGGGGUUCUGAGAGGAAGGUCCCCCACAUUGGAACUGAGACACGGUCCAAACUCCUACGGGAGGCAGCAGUGAGGAAUAUUGGUCAAUGGGCGAGAGCCUGAACCAGCCAAGUAGCGUGAAGGAUGACUGCCCUAUGGGUUGUAAACUUCUUUUAUAAAGGAAUAAAGUCGGGUAUGGAUACCCGUUUGCAUGUACUUUAUGAAUAAGGAUCGGCUAACUCCGUGCCAGCAGCCGCGGUAAUACGGAGGAUCCGAGCGUUAUCCGGAUUUAUUGGGUUUAAAGGGAGCGUAGAUGGAUGUUUAAGUCAGUUGUGAAAGUUUGCGGCUCAACCGUAAAAUUGCAGUUGAUACUGGAUAUCUUGAGUGCAGUUGAGGCAGGCGGAAUUCGUGGUGUAGCGGUGAAAUGCUUAGAUAUCACGAAGAACUCCGAUUGCGAAGGCAGCCUGCUAAGCUGCAACUGACAUUGAGGCUCGAAAGUGUGGGUAUCAAACAGGAUUAGAUACCCUGGUAGUCCACACGGUAAACGAUGAAUACUCGCUGUUUGCGAUAUACUGCAAGCGGCCAAGCGAAAGCGUUAAGUAUUCCACCUGGGGAGUACGCCGGCAACGGUGAAACUCAAAGGAAUUGACGGGGGCCCGCACAAGCGGAGGAACAUGUGGUUUAAUUCGAUGAUACGCGAGGAACCUUACCCGGGCUUAAAUUGCAGAUGAAUUACGGUGAAAGCCGUAAGCCGCAAGGCAUCUGUGAAGGUGCUGCAUGGUUGUCGUCAGCUCGUGCCGUGAGGUGCCGGCUUAAGUGCCAUAACGAGCGCAACCCUUGUUGUCAGUUACUAACAGGUUCCGCUGAGGACUCUGACAAGACUGCCAUCGUAAGAUGUGAGGAAGGUGGGGAUGACGUCAAAUCAGCACGGCCCUUACGUCCGGGGCUACACACGUGUUACAAUGGGGGGUACAGAGGGCCGCUACCACGCGAGUGGAUGCCAAUCCCCAAAACCUCUCUCAGUUCGGACUGGAGUCUGCAACCCGACUCCACGAAGCUGGAUUCGCUAGUAAUCGCGCAUCAGCCACGGCGCGGUGAAUACGUUCCCGGGCCUUGUACACACCGCCCGUCAAGCCAUGGGAGCCGGGGGUACCUGAAGUGCGUAACCGCGAGGAGCGCCCUAGGGUAAAACUGGUGACUGGG
Molecule: ribosomal RNA, 1443 nt
Filed under: uncultured organism
Description: SSU rRNA
Rfam family: Bacterial small subunit ribosomal RNA
Source: RNAcentral